GGCCCGGCGGCGGGUGGUCCGCACCCGCACCAAGUGCCUUUGCCUGUGCGAAAGAUUGUUGCAGGAGUCGCUCGUUCGAAUCGAGCCCGGGCCA
Non-coding RNA from Mycena vitilis, 94 nucleotides. Lineage: Eukaryota; Fungi; Basidiomycota; Agaricomycetes; Agaricales; Mycenaceae. The record is from the annotation of a GenBank genome assembly.